UGCGUAGGCGGUUUGUUAAGUCUGUUGUGAAAUCCCCGGGCUCAACCUGGGAAUGGCAAUGGAUACUGGCAAGCUAGAGUGUGUCAGAGGAUGGUGGAAUUUCCGGUGUAGCGGUGAAAUGCGUAGAGAUCGGAAGGAACAUCAGUGGCGAAGGCGGGCCAUCUGGGACGAACACUGACGCUGAAGCACGAAAGCGUGGGGAGCAAACA
This 209-nucleotide ribosomal RNA is filed under the name uncultured bacterium. RNAcentral describes it as "partial 16S ribosomal RNA". It matches the Rfam family "Bacterial small subunit ribosomal RNA", at positions 568 to 774 of the family's 1533-position model. The record is from RNAcentral.